UACGUAGGUGACCAGCGUUGUCCGGAUUUACUGGGCGUAAAGAGCGCGCAGGCGGUCGUUCAAGUCGAGUGUGAAAGCCCCCGGCUCAACUGGGGAGGGUCACUCGAUACUGAUCGACUUGAAGGCAGGAGAGGGAAGCGGAAUUCCCGGUGUAGUGGUGAAAUGCGUAGAUAUCGGGAGGAACACCGGUGGCGAAGGCGGCGACCUGGGUCGAGACUGACGCUGAGGCGCGAAAGCGUGGGGAGCAAACAGG
RNAcentral lists this ribosomal RNA (253 nucleotides) under uncultured bacterium. RNAcentral's name for it is "partial 16S ribosomal RNA". It matches the Rfam family "Bacterial small subunit ribosomal RNA", at positions 524 to 776 of the family's 1533-position model. The record is from RNAcentral.